AAGGCAGCAGGCGCGCAAAUUACCCAAUCCCGAUACGGGGAGGUAGUGACAAUAAAUACUGAUACGGGGCUCUUUUGGGUCUCGUAAUUGGAAUGAGAACAAUUUAAAUCCCUUAACGAGGAACAAUUGGAGGGCAAGUCUGGUGCCAGCAGCCGCGGUAAUUCCAGCUCCAAUAGCGUAUAUUAAAGUUGUUGCAGUUAAAAAGCUCGUAGUUGAACCUUGGGUCUGGCUGGCCGGUCCGCCUCACCGCGAGUACUGGUCCGGCUGGACCUUUCCUUCUGGGGAACCCCAUGGCCUUCACUGGCUGUGGGGGGAACCAGGACUUUUACUGUGAAAAAAUUAGAGUGUUCAAAGCAGGCCUUUGCUCGAAUACAUUAGCAUGGAAUAAUAGAAUAGGACGUGCGGUUCUAUUUUGUUGGUUUCUAGGACCGCCGUAAUGAUUAAUAGGGAUAGUCGGGGGCGUCAGUAUUCAGCUGUCAGAGGUGAAAUUCUUGGAUUUGCUGAAGACUAACUACUGCGAAAGCAUUCGCCAAGGAUGUUUUCAUUAAUCAGGGAACGAAAGUUAGGGGAUCGAAGACGAUCAGAUACCGUCGUAGUCUUAACCAUAAACUAUGCCGACUAGGGAUCGGACGGGACUCUAUGAUGACCCGUUCGGCACCUUACGAGAAAUCAAAGUUUUUGGGUUC
RNAcentral lists this ribosomal RNA (686 nucleotides) under fungal sp. CFK18. Its description in RNAcentral is "SSU rRNA". It matches the Rfam family "Eukaryotic small subunit ribosomal RNA", at positions 422 to 1114 of the family's 1831-position model. The record is from RNAcentral. Lineage: Eukaryota; Fungi.